This is a long non-coding RNA of Octopus bimaculoides (California two-spot octopus), 808 nucleotides long. The record is from RefSeq and is a predicted model, not a curated record. NCBI's taxonomy places the organism in Eukaryota, Metazoa, Mollusca, Cephalopoda, Octopoda, Octopodidae.
UGUAUUUCUUCCAUUAUGCUAUACAUUAUUUACAUUAUUUACAUUCGACGGAUAUUUGUCCUCAUCUUGUCUGUUGGUAACAAAACGUUUCAGCUGAUUUACCCUUCUUGGGGAAAUUUCAAAUCUGGGUUUAUCGUUCGUCACUACCUGGAAUCGAACCACUACGCCACAUGCUCGUAUGAUGAAGGUUGAAGGGUUUAUCGACCGAAACGUUGUGUUAACAAAAAACAAGAUGAGGAGAAAUAUCCGGCAAAUGUACAUAAUUCCUCAUCACUUAAAUAUAGAACUGUAUUAUCCUUUAUGCUAUGUUGAAGCAAACUACAGAAUUAAGCGCAUGACGGUACAAGGAAAGCAAAUCCUUAAUCUGGGACGCGACAUGCUGCGACACGUCCUCUCGCUGCAUUCUUGUUGCAUCGGCUGCGCACCCGGGUAUCACCACCCCUAACGCAGAAGAUGUGGAUAAAUCAAUAAAUUAAGGGUCCGACUGGCUGCUAUCAGUUUGUGUCGGUCGUCGUUGAGAUGUCUGGUAUUCUGGAACACUGCAUUUUCGCAAGAUCGAGAUAACGGGGCGCGUCUCAGAAACGAACUCGGCGAGGUGGAGUUGCUACUGUAGUGAGUGUCGCUGACCAUUCACCGCGGCAACACCAUCGGGGUCACGACUGAGGUGCAUAGCUGCGCACACCAUUCGUUCUUGAUUAUGCGGCCCCUCUAUCCAUCCACCUUGAUUUUCUUCUGUUUAUUCUCCAAUUUAUUUAUUUAUUUUUACUUUUCUGUUUUGCUUUUUUGCACUAUUGUAUUUUGUUUGAAA